CGCCGGCGGCGUGCUUCACACAUGCAAGUUGAACGGACCCAACCGACUGNAACCCUUCGGGGUGAAGCCGGGGACGGUUAGUGGCGGACGGGUGAGUAACGCGUGGGUAAUCUACCCUCAAAUCUGGAAUAACUUCGGGAAACCGGAACUAAUACCGGAUGAUCUUUAAGGGACGGGAGUUCUUUAAAGCAAAGGUGGCCUCUGGAACAAGCUGCCGUUUGGGGAUGAGCCCGCGUUCCAUUAGCUAGUUGGUAGGGUAACGGCCUACCAAGGCGACGAUGGAUAGCCGGCCUGAGAGGGUGUACGGCCACACUGGGACUGAGACACGGCCCAGACUCCUACGGGAGGCAGCAGUGGGGAAUAUUGCCCAAUGGGGGAAACCCUGAGGCAGCAACGCCGCGUGAGCGAUGAAGGCCUUCGGGUCGUAAAGCUCUGUCCUGGGAGAAGAAUCCCUUGGAGGUGAAUAACCUCUGAGCUUGACGGUAUCCCAGGAGGAAGCCCUGGCUAACUACGUGCCAGCAGCCGCGGUAAUACGUAGAGGGCGAGCGUUGUCCGGAAUUAUUGGGCGUAAAGCGCGCGUAGGCGGUUACGUAUGUCCAAUGUGAAAGGCGCCGGCUUAACCGGCGAAUUGCGUUGGAAACUGUGUAACUUGAGUGCAGGAGAGGAGAGCGGAAUCCCUAAUGUAGCGGGUGAAAUGCAUAGAUAUUAGGGAGAACACCGGUGGCGAANGCGGCUCUCUGGACUGCAACUGACGCUGAGGUGCGAAAGCGUGGGGGAGCGAACGGGAUU
RNAcentral lists this ribosomal RNA (789 nucleotides) under uncultured bacterium. RNAcentral describes it as "bacterial SSU rRNA". It matches the Rfam family "Bacterial small subunit ribosomal RNA", at positions 34 to 779 of the family's 1533-position model. The record is from RNAcentral.